UAGCUCAGUCAGUUGAGCAUAGCGCUAACAACGCUAAGGUCGCGGGUUUGAUUCCCAU
Molecule: transfer RNA, 58 nt
Filed under: Apaloderma vittatum (bar-tailed trogon)
Lineage: Eukaryota; Metazoa; Chordata; Aves; Trogoniformes; Trogonidae
Rfam family: tRNA
About the family: Transfer RNA (tRNA) molecules are approximately 80 nucleotides in length. Their secondary structure includes four short double-helical elements and three loops (D, anti-codon, and T loops).
Source: Rfam by way of RNAcentral